Molecule: ribosomal RNA, 502 nt
Filed under: Fimetariella rabenhorstii
Lineage: Eukaryota; Fungi; Ascomycota; Sordariomycetes; Sordariales; Lasiosphaeriaceae
Description: eukaryotic LSU rRNA
Rfam family: 5.8S ribosomal RNA (bases 182-335)
Source: RNAcentral
GCGGAGGGAUCAUUACAGAGUUCUAAAAGACUCCCAAAACCAUUGUGAACGUACCCGUCAGCGUUGCCUCGGCGGGCGGCCCCUCCCUGGGGCCGCUGCCUCCCUCGGGGGGUGCCCGCCGGCGUACCAAAACUCUUUUGUAUUUUAGUGGCCUCUCUGAGAAAACAAGCAAAUAAGUUAAAACUUUCAACAACGGAUCUCUUGGUUCUGGCAUCGAUGAAGAACGCAGCGAAAUGCGAUAAGUAAUGUGAAUUGCAGAAUUCAGUGAAUCAUCGAAUCUUUGAACGCACAUUGCGCCCGCCAGUACUCUGGCGGGCAUGCCUGUUCGAGCGUCAUUUCAACCCUCAAGCCCUGCUUGGUGUUGGGGUCCUACGGCUGCCGUAGGCCCUGAAAGCUAGUGGCGGGCUCGCUAUAACUCCGAGCGUAGUAGUAAAAUAUCUCGCUAGGGAGGUGUCGCGGGUUCCGGCCGUGAAAGCCCAUCUUUUACACAAGGUGACCUCGG